Molecule: transfer RNA, 81 nt
Organism: Archaeoglobus veneficus SNP6
Lineage: Archaea; Methanobacteriati; Methanobacteriota; Archaeoglobi; Archaeoglobales; Archaeoglobaceae
Rfam family: tRNA
About the family: Transfer RNA (tRNA) molecules are approximately 80 nucleotides in length.
Source: Rfam
GCCGGGGUUGCCGAGUGGUAAGGCGCACGCCUGGAGAGCGUGUGGGCUCUGCCCGCGUGGGUUCGAAUCCCACCCCCGGCG